Ornithodoros turicata is the source of this 551-nucleotide long non-coding RNA. RefSeq lists it as uncharacterized. The transcript has 3 exons. The record is from RefSeq and is a predicted model, not a curated record. NCBI's taxonomy places the organism in Eukaryota, Metazoa, Arthropoda, Arachnida, Ixodida, Argasidae.
GAAUAAUAUGUGUGCCUCCUGAGCCGUAUAUUCGUGUGCUUGUCGAAUAAUCCGUGUGCCGGCUGAAUAUGUGUGCCUUCGCUGGAGCGUACUACGUUGUUCCGCGCUCCGCCCGUGAGGAGUGACGUGGCACCGCGUAUUCUACCGCAGUGCAUUCGUCGCUACGUUCGUGCCUGUUAUGUGCGCUGCAACCUCGCCUUUGAAAAGACGACAACCAUGCUUUCUAAUUACAAGUUUAAUGUUUGCUUAAGACGAUGGACAUAUUGCAAAUGGCGGCAGGAGUGGAUCGGCUACAUCGGUGAAGCGACGAUUUAUAUUACAAGAGAGGCUAAUUGUAUUCUUUCGUUACAGGUGAACGUGGAACUGUAUCGACUGCAAGGACGUAGUGUCCUGUCUCAACGGUCACGCAUAUGCGUGCAAAACUGCAACUGCUUCUCACAUCGAAGAGGGGUCUGGUGCCACAUGCUCGGACAAUUAUUCGUCGGCCAUUUCGUUUGGGGAACUGUCGUGUUCGUCACUAAGGAUGGCCUUGGUUGAGCUGCCAGCCUGGU